UCUUCUGGAUGAAGGCUACUUCUUGAGAAGGUGUGUUCUGUAGCUGGAGACCCUAUUGCUAGUUGAACUGUGUGCUCUAGAGGGACCAAGGAAAUGGAUCACUGAGGAUCAAGCUACUCUACAAACGUGUAUUGAUAUACUACAGGUUCAGAUAAUUCUUCACUUUUUCCCAGGUAAUUGUGCAUUAUUUGAUUUAUUGUAUUGUUAACACCAUUUUCCUCUGUCCUACUUUGUUAGGCCAUAUUUAAGUAAUAUAUGUGCACAUCUGAUAUCAAUCCAAGUGAAGUCUGAAUCCAGAUUUAGAUGUGACCUUCUCCCUAGGAUAUAACUUUUUCUAAUAAAAACUGACUGAAUUAGAAGCA
Molecule: long non-coding RNA, 362 nt
Filed under: Phasianus colchicus (ring-necked pheasant)
Lineage: Eukaryota; Metazoa; Chordata; Aves; Galliformes; Phasianidae
Description: lncRNA (ENSPCLG00000001122.1)
Source: RNAcentral